Molecule: non-coding RNA, 797 nt
Organism: Delphinapterus leucas (beluga whale)
Lineage: Eukaryota; Metazoa; Chordata; Mammalia; Artiodactyla; Monodontidae
Source: RefSeq, a predicted model, not a curated record
AGCAUGUCCAUCUUUCUCCACGGAAUCUGCCAGAGCCCCCCUGAGGGCCAGGAACAUAGUGAUCAUCUAUACAUUUCUAAUAAAAGGAUGAAUGAAUGAGUGACAAAUGAAUGGGCAUAAUUAUCUCACUGACUACUUUCUGCCUGAAGUUGACAAGACUUCCAGGAACAUUGGAACACUUUGAAUCAAGCAUCACAUAUCAGAGAAAUGAUUAUCUAACUACGGAGACGACAGGCAAAUACCCUCAGAAGGUCACAAAAAUGAAAACUCAAGGCAAAUACUAGACAUGGUGCCUCUUGAUUUAAAGCAGCCUAUUUCAUGACAGUCCUGACCAUUUUAUAGAUGUCAUGGGAAUAGUAGUAACUAAAUUACAGUGCUCUCUCUUUGAGAGAAUCUCAGGAAGAUGAUUUUGUAUCAGACAUGCAUUUGGUUUUGCUUUUCUUGAAGACACAGUAUAUCAUAUAACCAUCAGCUUUUCUUCUGCCAUUGGCUCCUGUCAGGUUUGGAAUCCAACAAGCAGCUCAUUUCCAGCAAGUCUUUUGACUAACAAUUUACACUUCUGUUUUGGUCUCAGUCCUGCCCAAAUUUAUCUUUCUACCCUUGUAUUCCUUUUUGCUUUUUUACCUACUUCUAAUGUAUGUUAUUAGUUUGUAGCAUUUUUUAUAAACUGCCAUACAUGUUUUGAAGUAAUGGAGAAAGACCUUCAAGAUGACGGAGGAGUAAGAUGUGGAGAUCACCUUCCUCCCACAAAUACAUCAGAAAUACAUCUACACGUGGAGCAAUAGCUAGCCGGGAGG